UAGGGAAUUUUCCGCAAUGGGCGAAAGCUUGACGGAGCAACGCCGCGUGAGUGAUGAAGGUCUUCGGAUCGUAAAACUCUGUUAUCAGGGAAGAACAAAUGUGUAAGUAACUAUGCACGUCUUGACGGUACCUAAUCAGAAAGCCACGGCUAACUACGUGCCAGCAGCCGCGGUAAUACGUAGGUGGCAAGCGUUAUCCGGAAUUAUUGGGCGUAAAGCGCGCGUAGGCGGUUUUUUAAGUCUGAUGUGAAAGCCCACGGCUCAACCGUGGAGGGUCAUUGGAAACUGGAAAACUUGAGUGCAGAAGAGGAAAGUGGAAUUCCAUGUGUAGCGGUGAAAUGCGCAGAGAUAUGGAGGAACACCAGUGGCGAAGGCAACUUUCUGGUCUGUAACUGACGCUGAUGUGCGAAAGCGGGGGGAUCAAACAGG
Molecule: ribosomal RNA, 429 nt
Filed under: Actinomycetes bacterium
Lineage: Bacteria; Bacillati; Actinomycetota; Actinomycetes
Description: Actinobacteria bacterium partial 16S ribosomal RNA
Rfam family: Bacterial small subunit ribosomal RNA
Source: RNAcentral